Molecule: transfer-messenger RNA, 350 nt
Filed under: fish gut metagenome
Rfam family: transfer-messenger RNA
About the family: Bacterial tmRNA, also known as 10Sa RNA or SsrA, is named for its dual tRNA and mRNA-like properties.
Source: RNAcentral
GGGGCUGUCAUUGGUUUCGACAGGUUUAUGUUUGAUUUAAGCUGCAGUGGAGUGGUUACCUAAUAACCAAAAAAUCCUUAAUCGGAAAUAGAAUGAGUUUCGCUGCUUAAUUAGCCAGUAUUGUGCUUGCAGCUGUCAUUAAUCGUUUGUCUAUAGACUUUUAAAUGGCAUAAGAAAUAUAGAAUAAGGCAAAACACGUGCUUGGGUGUUAGCUCGAAAAUUUAACAAGCCAACUCUAAUAAGUUCUGUACUCAUAAGUUUUAUUAGUUUUAAUUAUGAUGAGUUAAACUGUAGACGCUUAAAUGUGGGACUAUUCUUGGACAGGGGUUCGAUCCCCCUCAGCUCCACCA